AGCGAACGCUGGCGGCAGGCCUAACACAUGCAAGUCGAACGGACCCUUCGGGGUUAGUGGCGGACGGGUGAGUAACACGUGGGAACGUGCCUUUCAGUUCGGACUAGCUCCUGGAAACGGGUGGUAAUGCCGAAUGUGCCCUUCGGGGGAAAGAUUUAUAGCCUUUCGAGCGGACCGCGUCGGAUUAGCUAGUUGGUGAGGUAAUGGCUCACCAAGGCGACGAUCAGUAGCUGGUCUGAGAGGAUGACAAGCCACACUGGGACGGAGACACGGCCCAGACUCCUACGGGAGGCAGCAGUGGGGAAUCUUGCGCAAUGGGCGAAAGCCUGACGCAGCCAUGCCGCGUGAAUGAUGAAGGUCUUAGGAUUGUAAAAUUCUUUCACCGGGGACGAUAAUGACGGUACCCGGAGAAGAAGCCCCGGCUAACUUCGUGCCAGCAGCCGCAGUAA
Molecule: ribosomal RNA, 449 nt
Filed under: uncultured bacterium
Lineage: Bacteria
Description: partial 16S ribosomal RNA
Rfam family: Bacterial small subunit ribosomal RNA
Source: RNAcentral